This 357-nucleotide unclassified non-coding RNA is filed under the name Hevea brasiliensis (rubber tree). The record is from RNAcentral. Lineage: Eukaryota; Viridiplantae; Streptophyta; Magnoliopsida; Malpighiales; Euphorbiaceae.
GGGAGACCAGAGUUAACAAAAUCUUGGAAUUUUUUGGUCUCAGAUAAUAGAUAUAUUGGAUUUGAUGAAUUUGAUUUUGGAUGGGGAAACCCCAUUUUUGGAGGGAUCUUAAAGGCUAUAUCUUUCACUAGUUUUGGUGUUUCUGUUAAAAAUGACAAAGGAGAAAAAGGUGUUUUGAUAGCUAUAAGUUUACCUCCAUUGGCCAUGAAAAAACUUCAAGAUAUCUACAACAUGACUUUCAGAGUCAUAAUUUCAAAUAUAUAAGGCUUUUUCCUAUUUGAAAGUACUUGUAUUUUAGUAUUUUGUUUCAAUUUAUGUGACAGUGUUUGAAAAAAUAAACGACUUGUUUGUAUAAAU